AACUAAGUAGCUCAAAUAAGAGCAAUGCAAUGAAGAUGCAUAAGUGCUAAUCUUAGCCGUAGUUA
RNAcentral lists this transfer RNA (65 nucleotides) under Nuttallochiton mirandus. RNAcentral describes it as "tRNA-Phe". Lineage: Eukaryota; Metazoa; Mollusca; Polyplacophora; Chitonida; Mopaliidae. The record is from RNAcentral.